GAUGAACGCUGGCGGCGUGCCUAAUACAUGCAAGUCGAGCGAACGGACGAGAAGCUUGCUUCUCUGAUGUUAGCGGCGGACGGGUGAGUAACACGUGGAUAACCUACCUAUAAGACUGGGAUAACUUCGGGAAACCGGAGCUAAUACCGGAUAAUAUUUUGAACCGCAUGGUUCAAAAGUGAAAGACGGUCUUGCUGUCACUUAUAGAUGGAUCCGCGCUGCAUUAGCUAGUUGGUAAGGUAACGGCUUACCAAGGCAACGAUGCAUAGCCGACCUGAGAGGGUGAUCGGCCACACUGGAACUGAGACACGGUCCAGACUCCUACGGGAGGCAGCAGUAGGGAAUCUUCCGCAAUGGGCGAGAGCCUGACGGAGCAACGCCGCGUGAGUGAUGAAAGUCUUCGGAUCGUAAAACUCUGUUAUUAGGGAAGAACAUAUGUGUAAGUAACUGUGCACAUCUUGACGGUACCUAAUCAGAAAGCAACGGCUAACUACGUG
RNAcentral lists this ribosomal RNA (497 nucleotides) under uncultured bacterium. Its description in RNAcentral is "partial 16S ribosomal RNA". It matches the Rfam family "Bacterial small subunit ribosomal RNA", at positions 28 to 507 of the family's 1533-position model. The record is from RNAcentral.